CGGGUGAGUAACGCGUGAGGAACCUGCCUCAAAGAGGGGGACAACAGUUGGAAACGACUGCUAAUACCGCAUAAGCCCACAGCUCGGCAUCGAGCAGAGGGAAAAGGAGUGAUCCGCUUUGAGAUGGCCUCGCGUCCGAUUAGCUAGUUGGUGAGGUAAUGGCCCACCAAGGCGACGAUCGGUAGCCGGACUGAGAGGUUGAACGGCCACAUUGGGACUGAGACACGGCCCAG
This 233-nucleotide ribosomal RNA is filed under the name uncultured bacterium. RNAcentral describes it as "partial 16S ribosomal RNA". It matches the Rfam family "Bacterial small subunit ribosomal RNA", at positions 103 to 334 of the family's 1533-position model. The record is from RNAcentral.